This is a non-coding RNA of Acanthosepion pharaonis, 95 nucleotides long. NCBI's taxonomy places the organism in Eukaryota, Metazoa, Mollusca, Cephalopoda, Sepiida, Sepiidae. The record is from the annotation of a GenBank genome assembly.
AAACAGCGGUUCCCGUAAAAUCACCGAAGUUAAGUAACAUCGAGCCUGGUCAGUACUUAGAUGAGCGACCGCCUGGAAAUACCAGGUGCUGUAAG